This is a long non-coding RNA of Heterocephalus glaber (naked mole-rat), 1753 nucleotides long. Lineage: Eukaryota; Metazoa; Chordata; Mammalia; Rodentia; Bathyergidae. The record is from Ensembl.
CAUUUUUCUUAAUGUACGUGGAAAAGAUGAGUUUUUAAAAAAAUUCGUCUCCUUUAACAUAUUUUCUGGUUUCUGUAUGUUUUGCCCAUGACAGAAGCAAUAUUUAACUUUCUAAGCAGAUAUCUACUUAAUCACAAGCAGAAUCACCACGCAGGAAUUCGCCUGUGUGCUCAUUCCUGUCUGUCCUGCAAUCGCACGCUGUUGUGCAGUGAAUCCACGUACCAAAGCAGAUUGCGUGUGAUUGAACCUGUCUUUAAUUUUAUCCCUUGGCAGUUUCCUUGCUGGUUUCCUGAAGUCCUUCCCCAACUCCCUGGCACCUGGGGUGAGGAUGGCGGAGCCCUGCGCGUCUGUCUAAAGGCCCCAGGGGUGCUGAGGCCUGCACAGCCGGGGACUCUGGUUGCUGUGGGUUCCUCUGCAGGCUGCUCUCUGCCUGCAGGUGGCAGCAUUUCACUUUCUAAUCCUUGUCUCCCUUAGGGACUUGACUUUCAGAAGAAUGGCACAGACUUUCUUUUCAAAAGAAUGAAUAGAAUUCAUAGACGGCCCCCGUAAACACCCUCCACAACUCUGGUUUGCUUUCUUUGGGUGAGCUCGCUUGGAAACCACUGUGAGACUACGGGGCUCAGUCCGACAUGUUGGUCAUGGACACACUGGGGCAAGGUCUCGUUCCAGAGUGCUGGAGAGGACAACAUGGACACACUCGUAGAAGGCGGCUGGAGUGAUGGAGGACAUACUGUGAGCCUUCUCUGCCCCUUCACUCCCAGAGUCCCUCACUGCGGUGUUUCAGGUGUAUUGGAUUUCCACCACUGCACAAACAUUACCACAACACUGGCGCAAGGCCCCCAGUGCUCCUUGCACCUUCCCCUCGUGAGGUUACAGUGAGAAGACAGCGGUAUGAACCAGGAAGCAGCCUCACACACGGGGGCUGCUUUGAUCAGGGACUUCCUGGCUUCCAGAACUACCAGGGACAACUGGCAGAAACCCAGCGCUUUCUCCUGCUUUCUCCUGUGCCACUGUUGCUCUCUCCUCUAAAAGGCAGAUUUUCCUCCCAUCAGCUCCUGAAGAGUAGUCACAAAGUGGAGGGUGCGCAGCUCAGUUUAGGCACCUGCACACCUCACCCUGCCAGAGGAAUGAGCCAUGUAGCCCUGUAAUUACAGCUGCACCAGGACCAGAAGAAUCACUUAGCAGGCAAAAACAAAACCAAACAACAAAAAACAGAAACAAAAACACUGUGAUUUCAAUGUGUGCCAUGCUUGAAGACAAACAGCACCUUUACGUGGGGCCUGAGAGGUCCUUUAAGGUCUUUAACACGACGAGGAAACUGAGACCGAGCAUCUGGGGAGAACUUGUCCAGGUUUCACUGCAGGAGGAGCUUUACAGGUGAGGCCAGCCAUGUCAGGAUGGUGCAGACGAUGCCGAGCAGAUGAGCUGCUUUUCUGCAGAUGAGGGCUCUGGCUCAUCUCUGAGGUCAUCCUGCAGAAGUGGCUCCUGUGGUCCAGCCACAGGCGGCAGGAAUUUUCAUGCCAUCCCGGACCCUAGUGAAGGUAGAGAAUCCUCCAGAGAAGCCACAGCUGCUCCUCUUACAGGCUGGCUCCGGGUACCAGCUGUGUGACAGCUCCUGCUCCACGGUGCUGCCACCCAGGCCUAGAGGGAGCCAGGGCUCCUGGAGGUGGAGGCACAGGCAUGGCAGCCCUCCCAGCCCAGGGUGUGCUGCCCAAGCCACCUCCAGACCUCCCCUGCUGCGGGUGGGGGUGGG